AAAAAAUGACAUGGCAUUAUCAACUAAAAUGACAUGAUAAAGUGAUAAACUUUUUCAAAGUAUCUCUACCACCAUACAUUGUAACCAUUAUCAAACCUCUCUAACAUAAACAAGGCAUUCGUCUACUCUAGACUAUCAAGUUUUAUUCAUGGAUAUGGGCUAUUUUUUUUUUUUUUGGUAAUUAUUAGUUACUUAGGGCCUGUUUGGAUACCAAUGAAAUAUGCCAUAAUCCUGGAGUUAUGCCAUAAUUUAACAUUUUGACAUAAUUAUGUCAUAUUGGGUGUUUGGGUAGUUAAAUUGCACUACAAAAUUAUGCCAUAAUGUGAAUGUUAUGGCAUAAAAUAACAUUCCACUCUAAGUGGAAUAUUUGUUUAUGCUGAAUUGUGUGGCUGGCUUGUGUUGUGUCUUUCUCUCAUUCUCUCUAAGGCCAGUGGAGAUAUUUCAUUUUUAGGGUUUGAAGAGGCCGCCGUUGGGGCAAUCAAGACGGCAGAGCCUAAGGCCGACGCUGGAGCAUCCAAGACACCAGAACCAAAGGCUGACGCUAGCGCACCCAAGUCGUAUCCUUAGUAGGCCGAAACUAGGCUGAAAAAGGAAGAAUGGCUGCAUCGCCUGCAAGGUGUCGGUUGUUUCCUUUAUUUAUCUUGAUUUGUUAUGUGGUUGUGAAGCAAGAGGUAUGAUUAAUUAGGAGGCCUUGAAGAGCAUUUCUACUUAUACAUCUCAACAAUGAUAGCAACACAAUUUGAAAUUCAUGUUGGACAUAGUUUAAUGAAGGAAAAACAUAGAUUUUGUGGGCUUGGGUGUGGGUGUUGUUUUUCUUUACAAGGUUUUAGUUUUUAAUUGAUUACUUUUGUUGAUUUGUCCUUUUAGUAUGUAAACAUCAUUACAACGCUUUGGCUUUCAUGGAAUUACUUGGUUUAUUAACUUUCGUUUGAAGGAACUAUGAUUAUAGUUAUUUUGAUUUAUUGGUAUGUCUUGGAAUUACUUAGUUGAUAUGGUAUGUUCUGUACUCCAAAGUUGCCAAAUUGUUUUGCAACUAGAGUUUGCAUACUCUAUUCUGAAUUGUUCUGAUAAUUAGUGACCUUUCUGAACAUUAGAGAUCAUUUGAAAUAGUGAGUGGCUUAUCAUUAUGAUUUAUCUGUAUGUGCAUUGGCUCUUAUAAACCAAGAGUGUGCAUAUGUAUGUAUGUAUAUAUAUAUAUAUAUUAUAUUCCAUAUGUAUUCAAGUACAUUAGAGAGAGAAAGAUGGGAAAGAGCUGUGGUUAGUGAAACAAGGAGUGGCUUAUUAUUGAAGUAUUAUCAGUUCAUUGUUUAUUUCUAUAUGUUUAUAGUCGUUCUUCCAAAUUUUAUAUAUUCAAAUAUAUUAGAGACUGAGAAUGAAAGUGAAAUAGAUUGCUUUUUUUUAAUCAUUAAUAGUACUAAUAGAUUGGCAAUGGACCAAUGAUGGGUGGGUGCACAUUGAGGAGGAAUGAGUUUGCAUUGUCAGAGAUAGCUCCAUUGUCCUCAAUACAAAUGUUGGAUACUAAUAGAUUGGUUAGCGCUGGCAUCUUAUUAAACCAAACAAAAACCUUAGUUAACAUUCAUAUUAGAGUUUAGUUAAAUUUGAAGCAUGGUUUGGCAUGGUUUAGCUUGGUCCUCAAUACAAAUGUUGAAGCAUGAGUUAGUUAAAUUCAUUUAUACUAACAUUUUUCAUUAUUUAUGACUAAUAAAUCAAAUGCAAGUGAAAGUAAACAUGAAAGCAAGGCAAAGUGGAAUGAAAUUCACAAGGCUCACCUAGUAAGAUUAUUGGGUGAGUAUAAUACUCCUACGUAGCAUUCACAAAAUGGAUGGACUAAAGAAGCAUGGAACAAAAGGUACGCGACAUGAUAAGCAAGUUUUUUAAUCCAAACCUCCUACAAACCAAAUUAAAGCAUUAGAACAAGAGUUGAAAAAAUCUACAAACUUCUAAAAGGCCUUUCAGAAUUAAAUGGCAUUGGAUGGGAUUAUAAAGGACAUAUUAUAUCAUCCCCGGAUGAUGUUUGGGCACCACUACUGGAGAGGAAUAGAGAUGUGAGGAAAUGACAUAAAAGACCAUUUCCACAUUUUAUAGCACUGCUGGAGAUUUAUGAGGGGAGAUACAUUGAAGGUAAGCGAUCUUGUGGUGUAGAAGAUUAUGAAGUCAUUUCUGAAUCACCUAUGCUCUCCACAACCCCAAGUGUUUUUACUCCAAACAAGCCACUCCAAUCAUCAUCUAUUCACGAUACAGAGGAUGAUGAUAUCAUACAAGUGGAACAUCUUUGUCCUUAACUACAGAAUCCUCAAACUAAAAGUUCAAGUAAUGUAAUAGGAGAUGAAGAUGGACAUAGAAGAAAAAGGGAGUGAAAGGAAAAAAACACCAAGAUUCAUCAUUCAACAUGCAACAAUACAUAGCAUUUUGAGAGUGUGAGAAUAAAGAAUAUCUCGAUGAUCUUAAGGGCACUCAAGACAAUUGAAGAUUGCAUGAAGGUGUUUAACUCAAUGAGUGGCAUUUUCAGAGAGGAAGAGGUGUUCAAAGCCAUCCAAAUUUUAAUUAAAGAAAAGAGUUAUCAUGAACUCUUCUUAUGUCUUCAGGAUGAGCAUAGAGUGCCAUGGUUGAAGAUGAUGUUCACGAAAAUUGAGUAAUAGACAAUGAGUGUGACAUUGUUAUGUGUUUUCUUGAAUUUUAUGUGUUUUCUUUUGGAUUGACAUUGUUAUGUGUUUACUUAAGAUGAUGAACUUGUUAAAAUAUCUUUUUGGCUUGAUAUUGA
Dioscorea cayenensis subsp. rotundata (Guinea yam) is the source of this 2761-nucleotide long non-coding RNA. RefSeq lists it as uncharacterized. The record is from RefSeq and is a predicted model, not a curated record. NCBI's taxonomy places the organism in Eukaryota, Viridiplantae, Streptophyta, Magnoliopsida, Dioscoreales, Dioscoreaceae. The transcript has 3 exons.